RNAcentral lists this long non-coding RNA (542 nucleotides) under Salmo salar (Atlantic salmon). Its description in RNAcentral is "lncRNA (ENSSSAG00000084711.1, ENSSSAG00000103845.1)". Lineage: Eukaryota; Metazoa; Chordata; Actinopteri; Salmoniformes; Salmonidae. The record is from RNAcentral.
AUCCACUUCAAUCAGUGUAUAUGAAGAGGAGGACACAGGUUAAAGAAGGAUUUUUAAGCCUUGAUACAAUUGAGACACGGAUUGUGUAUGUCUGCCCUUCAGAGGGUGAAUGGAUGAAGUGACAGGGCACUGAGUCAUCAUCAUAAAGUAGACCCAGAGAUUCUACAGUUUGACCCUGACCUGAAGCAACUGUGCAGUAAAGCAGCCAGUGUCAGGAACCUUGACUCCCAGGUCAAAGUAAUAUACAACGGAUGACGGAUCAGUUAAGAAACUGAUGCUCUGCAAGGGCCUCUCCAUUACUGGACCUGACACAUCCACGCAACUGAACCCUUCCAAGCCCAGCCACUAAUCCACACAUACACACAGACUUUUUCCUGCUGAAAUUCUAACAUGUCCAAAAGCGAAUACUGGAACAAUACUUCUAACAUAGAACGUGGGGAAUGGUCAGAGGCAAUCUAUAGAGCACUAAUGUCAUUUUGUUUGUUAUUUUGUGAUGACGUUAAAAUGUUAUAAAGGAAAUACUGUAACUUGGAAAGUAUACC